This 497-nucleotide ribosomal RNA is filed under the name uncultured bacterium. Its description in RNAcentral is "partial 16S ribosomal RNA". It matches the Rfam family "Bacterial small subunit ribosomal RNA", at positions 28 to 507 of the family's 1533-position model. The record is from RNAcentral.
GAUGAACGCUGGCGGCGUGCCUAAUACAUGCAAGUCGAGCGGAAAGACGAGGAUCUUGCUCCUUUGACGUGAGCGGCGGACGGGUGAGUAACACGUGGCUAACCUACCUCUAUGACUUAGAUAACUUCGAGAAACCGGAGCAAAGGCCAGAAGAUAUUGCGAACCGCAUGGUUCUGUAGUGAAUGGGGGCUUGGCUAUCACUUAUAGGUGUAUCUGCUCGGUAGUAGCUAGUUGGUGUAGUAACGGCUUACCAAGUAGACGAUACGUGGCCGACAUGGGGGGGUGAACGGCGACAGUGGAACUGAGAGACGGUACAGAGUCCUACGGGAGGCAGCAGUAGGGAAUGGAGGGAAAUGGGCGAAAGACUGACGGAGCAACGCCGGGUGAGUGCUGAAGGGCUUCGGGUCGUAAAACUCUGUUAUGGGGGAAGAACAAUUGUGUACGUGACGGUGCAUGGUGUGACGGUACUUAAUAAGAAAGCACCGGCUAACUACGUG